AAAGCUCAAAUUUGAAAUCUGGCACCUUUGGUGUCCGAGUUGUAAUUUGAAGAAAGUAACUUUUGGAAUAAGCCUUGCAUAAGUUCCUUGGAACAGGACGUCAUAGAGGGUGAGAAUCCCGUAUAUGGUGGGGUAUUUAUUUCAAUGUAAAGUGCUUUCGAAGAGUCGAGUUGUUUGGGAAUGCAGCUCUAAGUGGGUGGUAAAUUCCAUCUAAAGCUAAAUAUUGGCGAGAGACCGAUAGCGAACAAGUACAGUGAUGGAAAGAUGAAAAGAACUUUGAAAAGAGAGUGAAAAAGUACGUGAAAUUGUUGAAAGGGAAGGGCUUGAAAUCAGACUUGGUAUUCAGUGAUCAGCAAUCUCUCGGGGUUGUGCACUUGCUGUUUACUGGGCCAGCAUCGGUUUUGACGGUGAGAUAAUAGCACUUGAAUGUGGCUCUCUUCGGGGAGUGUUUAUAGCUUGUGUUGAUAUCAUCAGUCGGGAUCGAGGACCGCGCAUUUUGCUAGGAUGCUGGCGUAAU
This 517-nucleotide ribosomal RNA is filed under the name Spencermartinsiella sp. RNAcentral describes it as "partial large subunit ribosomal RNA". It matches the Rfam family "Eukaryotic large subunit ribosomal RNA", at positions 104 to 635 of the family's 3401-position model. Lineage: Eukaryota; Fungi; Ascomycota; Dipodascomycetes; Dipodascales; Trichomonascaceae. The record is from RNAcentral.